Molecule: long non-coding RNA, 959 nt
Organism: Cornus florida
Lineage: Eukaryota; Viridiplantae; Streptophyta; Magnoliopsida; Cornales; Cornaceae
Exons: 3
Source: RefSeq, a predicted model, not a curated record
GCAAAAAAAAAAAGAAAAAAAAACAGUUGUUUUUUUCCCUUAUAUAGAUUUUAAUUCUAGGCUUUACAUUUUGGACUUUUGAGGAUUGGGUUAGAUGAUACAAAUGUGGACUACUGGGAUAAGACCCACAAUAAAGGAUGAAAUGACAGAGGAAGAAAAGAUUGGGCCAGGCCAGUAUAAUUAUAUGAAAAAGAGUUGGGUGGGUGAGGAGCCCAAGACAAUAAUUUCCAAUCCAGCAAUUCUCCACCCACAAAGAGAAAUACUGAGAAUUUUAUUAUCAGAAAAAGGACGAAGAGAAGGGAAGAGAAGCGAAGGCAAGCAAGGCGAAGCGAAGUCGGAGGGUUUCGUUACUGGUACGACGCCUCUUCUUCUCCUUCUAUGUGUUGAUUUUUACUAAACUUUUUACAUUACUGUGAAAAAUUUCAAGCUAUUAUUCUGUUCCGUGCUAGGGUUUUCAGAAGAAUUGGAUUUCAAAGAGCUUUUUUUUUUUUUUUUUUUUUUUUUUUAAAUUUGUUUACUUCUUUCAUUUAUCGAUUUAAUAAAAUACCCCCUGCUUUUGUUUUAGCAAAUAAUUGGCCUUUUUAUUUUCGAAUUUUGAUGAUAAAAGUCUCUCUCUUGUUAUUUCAUUUGUAUAAAUAAAAUGUUUCUUUCAGAUGGACAUCCUCAAGAUGCAUAGACAGUUCUGUAAACUGCCGUUGCUUGCUAAAAUUUCUAUCUUUCCGGUGUCUGUAGUUACUCUGAUGGGUAUCGGCGCUCUGAUUGCUCAUGAGAGAAAUCAACUCGUGAAAUAUCUCCAAAAAUGGUUUGUCUUCUUCCCUUGAAACUUCAAUAGAUUCUUUUCUCUUUAUCUAUUGGUCUCACCUUGUAUCAGGUGGAUAGUUAAAUAUCUCACCUUGACGUGUGCUCUUCAUAAUGGUCUAUAAAUUCCAAUACUAUGUCUUUGUGAUGUGUUGUUUCUC